This 72-nucleotide transfer RNA is filed under the name Ictidomys tridecemlineatus (thirteen-lined ground squirrel). Its description in RNAcentral is "Spermophilus tridecemlineatus (thirteen-lined ground squirrel) tRNA". It matches the Rfam family "tRNA". From Rfam's summary of the family: Transfer RNA (tRNA) molecules are approximately 80 nucleotides in length. Lineage: Eukaryota; Metazoa; Chordata; Mammalia; Rodentia; Sciuridae. The record is from Rfam by way of RNAcentral.
UGGGUUGUGGCUCAGCGGUAGAGCGCUCGCCUAGCACGCCCGAGGCCUUGGGUUCAAUCCUCAGCACCACAU